This is a long non-coding RNA of Helianthus annuus (common sunflower), 183 nucleotides long. RefSeq lists it as uncharacterized. The transcript is spliced from 2 exons. The record is from RefSeq and is a predicted model, not a curated record. Lineage: Eukaryota; Viridiplantae; Streptophyta; Magnoliopsida; Asterales; Asteraceae.
AAUUUAUAGGGGACUUGGACGUAAACCUUCUUUAUCUUCAGCCUCGAGUGACGUGAGUCCUCAUGAGAAGGAGAAGACACGUCCGCAAUUUUCAGAGGAAUAUUUUGACGAAUUGUUUGAAGACCCGAGAUUUAUGGAACGACUGUACCAAGCUAUGGAUAAGAAGAGAUCAAGAAAAGACAA